GACGAACGCUGGCGGCGUGCUUAACACAUGCAAGUCGAACGGAAAGGCCCUGCUUUUGUGGGGUGCUCGAGUGGCGAACGGGUGAGUAACACGUGAGUAACCUGCCCUUGACUUUGGGAUAACUUCAGGAAACUGGGGCUAAUACCGGAUAGGAGCUCCUGCUGCAUGGUGGGGGUUGGAAAGUUUCGGCGGUUGGGGAUGGACUCGCGGCUUAUCAGCUUGUUUGUGGGGUAGUGGCUGACCAAGGCUUUGACGGGUAGCCGGCCUGAGAGGGUGACCGGCCACAUUGGGACUGAGAUACGGCCCAGACGCCUACGGGAGGCAGCAGUGGGGAAUAUUGCACAAUGGGCGGAAGCCUGAUGCAGCAACGCCGCGUGCGGGAUAACGGCCUUCGGGUUGUAAACCGCUUUCGCCGGUGACGAAGCGUGAGUGACGGUAAUGGGUAAAGAAGCACCGGCUAACUACGUG
Molecule: ribosomal RNA, 468 nt
Filed under: uncultured bacterium
Lineage: Bacteria
Description: partial 16S ribosomal RNA
Rfam family: Bacterial small subunit ribosomal RNA
Source: RNAcentral